Molecule: ribosomal RNA, 460 nt
Filed under: uncultured bacterium
Lineage: Bacteria
Description: partial 16S ribosomal RNA
Rfam family: Bacterial small subunit ribosomal RNA
Source: RNAcentral
CCUACGGGGGGCAGCAGUGAGGAAUAUUGGUCAAUGGACGAGAGUCUGAACCAGCCAAGUAGCGUGAAGGAUGACUGCCCUAUGGGUUGUAAACUUCUUUUAUAUGGGAAUAAAAUGUUCCACGUGUGGGAUUUUGUAUGUACCAUAUGAAUAAGGAUCGGCUAACUCCGUGCCAGCAGCCGCGGUAAUACGGAGGAUCCGAGCGUUAUCCGUAUUUAUUGGGUUUAAAGGGAGCGUAGGUGGAUUGUUAAGUCAGUUGUGAAAGUUUGCGGCUCAACCGUAAAAUUGCAGUUGAAACUGGCAGUCUUGAGUACAGUAGAGGUGGGCGGAAUUCGUGGUGUAGCGGUGAAAUGCUUAGAUAUCACGAAGAACUCCGAUUGCGAAGGCAGUUCACUGGACUGCAACUGACACUGAGGCUCGAAAGUGUGGGUAUCAAACAGGAUUAGAUACCCUUGUAGUC